UGGGAAUUUGGACGAAUGGGCGAAAGCCUGAUCCAGCAAUGCCGCGUGUGUGAAGAAGGCCUUCGGGUUGUAAAGCACUUUUGUCCGGAAAGAAAUCCUUGGCUCUAAUACAGUCGGGGGAUGACGGUACCGGAAGAAUAAGCACCGGCUAACUACGUGCCAGCAGCCGCGGUAAUACGUAGGGUGCAAGCGUUAAUCGGAAUUACUGGGCGUAAAGCGUGCGCAGGCGGUUUGCUAAGACCGAUGUGAAAUCCCCGGGCUCAACCUGGGAACUGCAUUGGUGACUGGCAGGCUAGAGUAUGGCAGAGGGGGGUAGAAUUCCACGUGUAGCAGUGAAAUGCGUAGAGAUGUGGAGGAAUACCGAUGGCGAAGGCAGCCCCCUGGGCCAAUACUGACGCUCAUGCACGAAAGCGUGGGGAGCAAAACAGGAUUAGAUACCCCUGGUAGUCCACGCCCUAAACGAUGUCAACUAGUUGUUGGGGAUUCAUUUCCUUAGUAACGUAGCUAACGCGUGAAGUUGACCGCCUGGGGAGUACGGUCGCAAGAUUAAAACUUAAAUGAAUUGACGGGGUCAUAGCUGUUUCCU
RNAcentral lists this ribosomal RNA (586 nucleotides) under uncultured bacterium. RNAcentral's name for it is "partial 16S ribosomal RNA". It matches the Rfam family "Bacterial small subunit ribosomal RNA", at positions 357 to 1375 of the family's 1533-position model. The record is from RNAcentral.